This 748-nucleotide long non-coding RNA is filed under the name Anser cygnoides (Swan goose). Its description in RNAcentral is "lncRNA (ENSACDG00005000654.1)". The record is from RNAcentral. Lineage: Eukaryota; Metazoa; Chordata; Aves; Anseriformes; Anatidae.
AAGCAUCCCCAACGCACCUCGCACACCUUGCCCCCCAGCUCGCACGCACGCCCUGAGACCAGGGCAGCGCACAGCUCCAAGUGCUGUGCCCUGCCCUUCCCAGCCGCUGUCCCCCCCAGACCCCGCGCCCAGCCCGUUAGCGCCCACCGCCCCGCUAUCCCAGCGGGAACACGAGCAGACUGCGGGACAGGCGAUAGUGCCACGGAUGCCAAGCGGGACAACAGCAAAUACCACCCCGUUAGGCUACGGGCUGCGCCCCAGUGCAGCCGCUCCCCUCCAAGGGGGGCACAGCGAGAGAAAAGCAGGCUGUCCUGGGCGGAGAGAGGGCCCAGAGGACGGAGGGGAUCGGGACUCUGCUCAGCUGCCCAGGACUCGGACAUCCACAGCAACACGCCAGUCCGAAGGCUGCUUUUGCCUUGGGUGAAAGAUUUUCAUCUCCUGACCAUCAAAACCAAGCCAACAGGAGCCUACGCAGGCCGCGCAUCUGACUGCCGACGGGCACUCGAGCGCUCCAAGCAGACCCACUGCUCAGCUAACCCUUGUUGUCACCCUGACAUACGCCAUCCCCGUGAGACAAGGAUACUGGAGCAUCCAGGGACCACCACGGUUUCCAACAUGGCCAGACCUCUGCCAGACUAGCAGGGAAUGUUUGAGGAAGAAGGUCUGUGCCCAACCAAGGCCCAGGACUUAUUUCCACUUAAGAUACCACUAGAAUAAAUUUGGGACAGUUUUAAAGCUUCUGUGGCUC